RNAcentral lists this ribosomal RNA (407 nucleotides) under uncultured Eubacteriaceae bacterium. Its description in RNAcentral is "bacterial SSU rRNA". It matches the Rfam family "Bacterial small subunit ribosomal RNA", at positions 355 to 776 of the family's 1533-position model. Lineage: Bacteria; Bacillati; Bacillota; Clostridia; Eubacteriales; Eubacteriaceae. The record is from RNAcentral.
UGGGGAAUAUUGCGCAAUGGAGAGACACUCUGACGCAGCAAUACCGCGUGAGCGAAGAAGGUCUUCGGAUCGUAAAGCUCUGUACACGGGGAAGAAAAAAUGACGGUACCCGUGGAGCAAGUCCCGGCUAACUACGUGCCAGCAGCCGCGGUAACACGUAGGGGACGAGCGUUGUCCGGAAUGACUGGGCGUAAAGGGCGCGCAGGCGGCCUUUUAAGCAGGAAGUGAAAGGCCCCGGCUCAACCGGGGAGAGGCUUUCUGAACUGGAAGGCUUGAGUAUUGGAGAGGCAGGCGGAAUUCCUGGUGUAGCGGUGAAAUGCGCAGAGAUCAGGAGGAACACCGGAGGCGAAGGCGGCCUGCUGGACAAAUACUGACGCUGAGGCGCGAAAGCGUGGGGAGCAAACAGG